Molecule: non-coding RNA, 872 nt
Organism: Corylus avellana
Lineage: Eukaryota; Viridiplantae; Streptophyta; Magnoliopsida; Fagales; Betulaceae
Source: RefSeq, a predicted model, not a curated record
GUGCGUGUUUAUAGUACUAAUCAAAAUACACGUGUAUGUUCUGUCUAGGAAAGAUUGGAUUUUAAGUGAGACCGAUGUGACUCCUCCAAUCUUACCUGGGAAUGUAUCGAGCUGUAUCUUUGGUAAAAUACUAUUUAACGUACUUGUGUGUUGUUGUUUUUUCUUGACAGGUUGAAUCCCAAGAUCCUGAAGAGGAAUUAGUGGCGUCUAAUUUCCUAACAGAUGUUUCAUGUUUGGCUCCAUUGAUUAGUCCUCUGUUUAUUGAUCAAAUGUUCUCCUCUUUUUCCAUGUGGUGCUAUGGGUGAGGCUUAUUCAAUCGAGAGUAUAAAUGGUAAUACAUUGAGGAUGAAUCAGAGUUUUCAAGGCUAUGAUCUAGUUAGCUCAACCAACUUCAAUUUCAUGUGCUUUUUUGUAACUUUACAAAGUGGAACUGAAGUUUGUGACUUUGUUCUGCGGCUUGAUGUGAUAUUGCAACUCAGAUACAAGUGAAGGAAGAUGGAUCUAAGAGGAGCUUACUUUAUAUAGAGACAGCUGAUAGACCUGGAUUACUGGUAGAAAUCAUCAAUAUUAUUGCUGAUUUCAACAUUGAUGUAGAAUCAGCAGAGAGUGACGUAAAAAGACUUGCGUAAAAAAUCAUCAAUUGAUGAAGUAGAUGUGAGAAUCAAUGGGGGAUUUCUACAAUAUUCUGGGAUAUGUCAGCCUCACUUGUACUCAAAACAAUGGAAGCUAUACAGAGCACUUUCAUGAUGAGGAAGAUCGGGUUUCUUUCACUUGCUUGAAAGCAUUUUAAUCCCAAAAGGUAGUGAGAAUGCUUGCUUGUCUUCAAGUGAAAUCGGUUGUUGUGCUGACCGGAAUUGAAGAUCAUGUUAGCC